Molecule: ribosomal RNA, 253 nt
Filed under: uncultured bacterium
Lineage: Bacteria
Description: partial 16S ribosomal RNA
Rfam family: Bacterial small subunit ribosomal RNA
Source: RNAcentral
GACGUAGGGCGCGAGCGUUGUCCGGAUUUAUUGGGCGUAAAGAGCUCGUAGGCGGUUCGUCGCGUCGGCUGUGAAAACCUGAGGCUCAACCUCAGGCCUGCAGUCGAUACGGGCGGACUUGAGUACUGCAGGGGAGACUGGAAUUCCUGGUGUAGCGGUGAAAUGCGCAGAUAUCAGGAGGAACACCGGUGGCGAAGGCGGGUCUCUGGGCAGUAACUGACGCUGAGGAGCGAAAGCGUGGGGAGCAAACAGG